GACUUAGUGUGGUGUAGUGGUUUGAGCAUUAGACUAUGACUCUGGAGACCAAGGUUCAAAUCCUAGUUCAGCCA
Molecule: non-coding RNA, 74 nt
Organism: Phrynosoma platyrhinos (Desert horned lizard)
Lineage: Eukaryota; Metazoa; Chordata; Lepidosauria; Squamata; Phrynosomatidae
Source: the annotation of a GenBank genome assembly